UCGCCCUACGGGGGGCAGCAGUAGGGAAUAUUGCGCAAUGGGCGAAAGCCUGACGCAGCGACGCCGCGUGUGGGAUGAAGGUCUUCGGAUCGUAAACCUCUGUCAGCAGGGAAGAACGGUCACUGUGCUAAUCAGCAGUGAAUUGACGGUACCUGAAAAGGAAGCACCGGCUAACUCCGUGCCAGCAGCCGCGGUAAUACGGAGGGUGCGAGCGUUAAUCGGAAUUACUGGGCGUAAAGCGCUCGCAGGCGGUAUGUUAAGUC
RNAcentral lists this ribosomal RNA (263 nucleotides) under uncultured bacterium. Its description in RNAcentral is "partial 16S ribosomal RNA". It matches the Rfam family "Bacterial small subunit ribosomal RNA", at positions 334 to 589 of the family's 1533-position model. The record is from RNAcentral.